UACGUAGGGGGCAAGCGUUGUCCGGAUUUACUGGGCGUAAAGCGCACGUAGGCGGAUUCUUAAGUCAGGGGUGAAAUCCCGAGGCUCAACCUCGGAACUGCCUUUGAUACUGGGGAUCUUGAGUUCGGGAGAGGUGAGUGGAACUGCGAGUGUAGAGGUGAAAUUCGUAGAUAUUCGCAAGAACACCAGUGGCGAAGGCGGCUCACUGGCCCGGUACUGACGCUGAGGUGCGAAAGCGUGGGGAGCAAACAGG
RNAcentral lists this ribosomal RNA (253 nucleotides) under uncultured bacterium. Its description in RNAcentral is "partial 16S ribosomal RNA". It matches the Rfam family "Bacterial small subunit ribosomal RNA", at positions 524 to 776 of the family's 1533-position model. The record is from RNAcentral.